RNAcentral lists this ribosomal RNA (403 nucleotides) under uncultured bacterium. Its description in RNAcentral is "partial 16S ribosomal RNA". It matches the Rfam family "Bacterial small subunit ribosomal RNA", at positions 30 to 526 of the family's 1533-position model. The record is from RNAcentral.
AUUGAACGCUGGCGGCAGGCCUAACACAUGCAAGUCGAGCGAGCGGCGGACGGGUGAGUAAUGUAUGGGGACUGCCCGAUAGAGGGGGAUAACUACUGGAAACGGUUGCUCAUAUCGCACACUGUCGGAUAACCCAUAUGGGAUUAGCUAGUAGGUAAGGUAAUGGCUUACCUAGGCGACGAUCCCUAGCUGGUCUGAGAGGAUGAGCAGCCACACUGGGACUGAGACACGGCCCAGACUCCUACGGAGGCAGCAGUGGGGAAUAUUGCACAAUGGGGGCAAGCCUGAUGCAGCCAUGCCGCGUGUAUGAAGAAGGCCCUAGGGUUGUAAAGUACUUUCAGUCGGGAGGCGUUACCGACAGAAGAAGCACCGGCUAACUCCGUGCCAGCAGCCGCGGUAAUUC